UGGGGAAUCUUCCGCAAUGGACGAAAGUCUGACGGAGCAACGCCGCGUGAGUGAUGACGGCCUUCGGGUUGUAAAGCUCUGUUAAUCGGGACGAAUGGUUCUUGUGCAAAUAGUGCGAGGAUUUGACGGUACCGGAAUAGAAAGCCACGGCUAACUACGUGCCAGCAGCCGCGGUAAUACGUAGGUGGCAAGCGUUGUCCGGAAUUAUUGGGCGUAAAGCGCGCGCAGGCGGAUUGGUCAGUCUGUCUUAAAAGUUCGGGGCUUAACCCCGUGAUGUGAUGGAAACUGCCAAUCUAGAGUAUCGGAGAGGAAAGUGGAAUUCCUAGUGUAGCGGUGAAAUGCGUAGAUAUUAGGAAGAACACCAGUGGCGAAGGCGACGUUCUGGACGAAAACUGACGCUGAGGCGCGAAAGCCAGGGGAGCGAACGGG
This 429-nucleotide ribosomal RNA is filed under the name bacterium. Its description in RNAcentral is "partial 16S ribosomal RNA". It matches the Rfam family "Bacterial small subunit ribosomal RNA", at positions 355 to 776 of the family's 1533-position model. The record is from RNAcentral.